This 274-nucleotide ribosomal RNA is filed under the name uncultured bacterium. RNAcentral's name for it is "partial 16S ribosomal RNA". It matches the Rfam family "Archaeal small subunit ribosomal RNA", at positions 473 to 747 of the family's 1478-position model. The record is from RNAcentral.
AAACCAGCACCUCAAGUGGUCAGGAUGAUUAUGGGGCCUAAAGCAUCCGUAGCCGGCUCUGUAAGUUUUCGGUUAAAUCUGUACGCUCAACGUACAGGCUGCCGGGAAUACUGCAGAGCUAGGGAGUGGGAGAGGUAGACGGUACUCGGGAGGAAGUGGUAAAAUGCUUUGAUCUCUCGAUGACCACCUGUGGCGAAGGCGGUCUACCAGAACACGUCCGACGGUGAGGGAUGAAAGCUGGGGGGGCAAACCGGAUUAGAAACCCCAGUAGUCC